RNA transcript from Fukomys damarensis (Damara mole-rat), 776 nucleotides. It is a transcript of the gene named telomere repeat binding bouquet formation protein 2, with no coding region annotated. The transcript is spliced from 8 exons. The record is from RefSeq and is a predicted model, not a curated record. NCBI's taxonomy places the organism in Eukaryota, Metazoa, Chordata, Mammalia, Rodentia, Bathyergidae.
GGUCACUAGUUCCCCUAGGUCCUCAUGGGCCCGGCGGCGCCAUGUUUCAAGGGCAGCGCGGGUGGUUCUGUGGCAGCGUUGGCCAGGACCUGAGGCAGUUCUGGGUGGCCGAAGGAGGGACGGUCAGUGAGGCGGACGCUGCCGACUUCCUGUUCAGCUGCAACGCCUCGCACCCCGACACGCUGAGAAUUUAUCAGAGCCUUGAUUACAUAGAAGAUAAUGCUACAGUUUUUCAUGCCUGCUAUCUCUCUGCAGUAGCCAAUGCUGAAAUAAAAAACUCAGUGGUUUUAGGUCAUUUUGUUCUUCCUCCUGCAUGCCUGCAAAAAGAAAUAAGAAGAAAAAUUGGUAGUUUUAUUUGGGAACAAGAAGAAUCUCUGAUAGAAAAGCGUGAUGAAGUUACAUCAAAUGAAAUAAAUACCUUUAAGGAGAACAGUGAACUAGCCACAGAGAAUGAAAAAGAAUCACCAGAAAGAACAGAAAAUAAUUUUUUAAGGACUGCGGUUAUAGAAAAGCAGAUGUACUUCCCUCUUCAGGAUUAUCCAGUGAACAACAUGGUAACAGUUUAUCUUACACAGGCACCCAGCUAUUAGGCUAAGAUCAUGAACAUGAAGCGUAGCAACAGUGCUUCUGGCGCUCAAAAGUUAUGCACACUACCAACUCCCCAGGAUGAAAGUAAUCACUAUGUAUGCAAAUACUCUAAUAAAAAUAAGAAUUAAAAAGGAGAUCUAAUAAAGUAAAUGACCAGCUACUUGGGAAGGUUACAUAUCAGUUGAUGC